CGGAACACGUUUGAAAUCUGCCUUAAACAGGGGAUAGCCCGCCGAAAGGCGGAUUAAUACCGCAUAUGCCGAUGACCUGGCAUCAGGUAGUCGGGAAAGGAGCAAUCCGGUUUGAGAUGAUCAUGCGUCUGAUUAGCUAGUUGGCGGGGUAGAAGCCCACCAAGGCGACGAUCAGUAGGGGACCUGAGAGGGCGAUCCCCCACACGGACACUGAGAUACGGGUCCG
This 226-nucleotide ribosomal RNA is filed under the name uncultured bacterium. RNAcentral describes it as "partial 16S ribosomal RNA". It matches the Rfam family "Bacterial small subunit ribosomal RNA", at positions 109 to 334 of the family's 1533-position model. The record is from RNAcentral.